AGUCGAGGGGUAGUAUAGCAAUAUAUGAGACCGGCGCACGGGUGCGUAACGCGUAUGCAACCUACCUUUUACAGGGGAAUAGCCCAGAGAAAUUUGGAUUAAUGCCCCAUGGUAUAUGUAAUUCGCAUGUUUUACAUAUUAAAGUUCCAACGGUAAAAGAUGGGCAUGCGUCCUAUUAGCUAGAUGGUAAGGUAACGGCUUACCAUGGCUACGAUAGGUAGGGGUCCUGAGAGGGAGAUCCCCCACACUGGUACUGAGACACGGACCAGACUCCUACGGGAGGCAGCAGUGAGGAAUAUUGGACAAUGGGCGCAAGCCUGAUCCAGCCAUGCCGCGUGCAGGAAGACGCAUCUAUGGUGUGUAAACUGCUUUUGUACGGGAAGAAACACCCCCUCGUGAGGGGGCUUGACGGUACCGUAAGAAUAAGGAUCGGCUAACUCCGUGCCAGCAGCCGCGGUAAUACGGAGGAUCCAAGCGUUAUCCGGAAUCAUUGGGUUUAAAGGGUCCGUAGGCGGUUUGGUAAGUCAGUGGUGAAAGCCCAUCGCUCAACGAUGGAACGGCCAUUGAUACUGCCAGACUUGAAUUAUUGUGAAGUAACUAGAAUAUGUAGUGUAGCGGUGAAAUGCUUAGAUAUUACAUGGAAUACCAAUUGCGAAGGCAGGUUACUAACAAUAUAUUGACGCUGAUGGACGAAAGCGUGGGGAGCGAACAGGAUUAGAUACCCUGGUAGUCCACGCCGUAAACGAUGGAUACUAGCUGUUCGGGGCAACCUGAGUGGCUAAGCGAAAGUGAUAAGUAUCCCACC
RNAcentral lists this ribosomal RNA (805 nucleotides) under uncultured bacterium. RNAcentral describes it as "bacterial SSU rRNA". It matches the Rfam family "Bacterial small subunit ribosomal RNA", at positions 60 to 873 of the family's 1533-position model. The record is from RNAcentral.